This 67-nucleotide transfer RNA is filed under the name Globicephala melas (long-finned pilot whale). RNAcentral's name for it is "tRNA-Lys". It matches the Rfam family "tRNA". Rfam says of the family: Transfer RNA (tRNA) molecules are approximately 80 nucleotides in length. Their secondary structure includes four short double-helical elements and three loops (D, anti-codon, and T loops). Lineage: Eukaryota; Metazoa; Chordata; Mammalia; Artiodactyla; Delphinidae. The record is from RNAcentral.
CACUAAGAAGCUAAAAUAGCGUUAACCUUUUAAGUUAAAGAUUGGGAAUUAUAAAACCCCUUAGUGG